Pristis pectinata (smalltooth sawfish) is the source of this 150-nucleotide long non-coding RNA. RefSeq lists it as uncharacterized. NCBI's taxonomy places the organism in Eukaryota, Metazoa, Chordata, Chondrichthyes, Rhinopristiformes, Pristidae. The transcript has 3 exons. The record is from RefSeq and is a predicted model, not a curated record.
UUUCUGCUUUGCAAACACAUAUGCCAACUUGGGCCCACUGAAUUGUUGGAACUUCUGGGACAUCAAGAGCUGAGCACUUCCAACUGCACUUCGGAUUUUCCCCAAAACUAUAGUAAAGCAAUAGGAAGACUGGUUAACACGUGGAGUUAC